GAUGAACGCUAGCGGCAGGCUUAAUACAUGCAAGUCGAACGGGAUUGAGAAGCUUGCUUUUCAUGAGAGUGGCGCACGGGUGCGUAACACGUAUGCAACCUACCUUGUCCAGGGGGAUAGCCCGUUGAAAGACGGAUUAAGACCGCAUAACAUUGAGCUGUGGCAUCACAAAUCAAUCAAAUAUUUAUAGGGACAAGAUGGGCAUGCGCCUGAUUAGGUAGUUGGCGGGGUAAUGGCCCCCCAAGCCGACGAUCAGUAGGGGAUCUGAGAGGAUGACCCCCCACACUGGUACUGAGACACGGACCAGACUCCUACGGGAGGCAGGAGUAAGGAAUAUUGGUCAAUGGGCGAAAGCCUGAACCAGCCAUGCCGCGUGCAGGAAGACGGCCCUACGGGUUGUAAACUGCUUUUAUACGGGAAUAACCCCGGUUUCGUGAAACCGGCUGAAUGUACCGUAGAAUAAGGAUCGGCUAACUCCGUGCCAGCCGCCGCCGUAA
RNAcentral lists this ribosomal RNA (497 nucleotides) under uncultured bacterium. Its description in RNAcentral is "partial 16S ribosomal RNA". It matches the Rfam family "Bacterial small subunit ribosomal RNA", at positions 28 to 523 of the family's 1533-position model. The record is from RNAcentral.